AACGAACGCUGGCGGCAGGCCUAACACAUGCAAGUCGAGCGCCCCGCAAGGGGAGCGGCGGACGGGUGAGUAACGCGUGGGAAUAUGCCCUUUGCUACGGAAUAGUCUCGGGAAACUGGGGGUAAUACCGUAUACGCCCUUUGGGGGAAAGAUUUAUCGGCGAAGGAUUAGCCCGCGUUGGAUUAGGUAGUUGGUGGGGUAAUGGCCUACCAAGCCGACGAUCCAUAGCUGGUUUGAGAGGAUGAUCAGCCACACUGGGACUGAGACACGGCCCAGACUCCUACGGGAGGCAGCAGUGGGGAAUCUUAGACAAUGGGGGCAACCCUGAUCUAGCCAUGCCGCGUGAGUGAUGAAGGCCUUAGGGUUGUAAGGCUCUUUCAGCUGGGAAGAUAAUGACGGUACCAGCAGAAGAAGCCCCGGCUAACUCCGUG
Molecule: ribosomal RNA, 431 nt
Filed under: uncultured bacterium
Lineage: Bacteria
Description: partial 16S ribosomal RNA
Rfam family: Bacterial small subunit ribosomal RNA
Source: RNAcentral